Molecule: long non-coding RNA, 3483 nt
Filed under: Malus domestica (apple)
Lineage: Eukaryota; Viridiplantae; Streptophyta; Magnoliopsida; Rosales; Rosaceae
Description: long non-coding RNA (MDOM_LNC005441)
Source: RNAcentral
AACUACUAUUUAUUUUGGAAAAUAAUUUUCACACUAUUUCUUACCUCAUACACACUCUUCUAGUUUCCUGAGCAUUAUUGGAAAAUUAAAGUAAUUAAUAAAGUGUGCACAAGAUAAAAAAAUGGUAUAUUGAAAUCACUAUCCAUUAUUUUUCAGAAGAUGUAUCACGCAUAUUUUUAAAAGAAAGAGGCCAAGUUUUUAAUGCAUACCAACUACUAAUGAGAUAGCAAAAUCUUACCUUUGUUUUCUAGGUCAGGAAACAAACUUCAUCAAAGAUAAAGGGAAAAUUACAAAUGUUAUAGAUCGUCCAAAUCCAUACAAAACAAAGUGAGAUAAAAGAGUAAAAAGGCCCAAGCAAAAGGAGAGCUACAACUCAAGAUAUAACGGAAGGCCCACACAAACUUAAUGUCACAGCCCGUCCUGAAUUAUUUUGUCGUCAGUGUGAAAUGUCUAUUUUUCCCUUGAACGUUGAGGUGUGUUGUGUGUGACAUGCUUUUAGAGGUAGACCAAUAUGUUAAGUUCCUAAGUUUUUGGACCCAAUUAGAACUUAAGCUUUUGUUUGUUUUGGUUGGUAGCCCAAACUAGGACCACACACACACACCCAGUUGACUCUCUCUCUCUUCCCUCUGUUGGACUUCUUUCCAUUUCAGUACAAUUGUACGGACAAACUUCAAACCUUCACUUCCAGUCACGGAUCGAAGCUGGGGAAGUGGUCUUUGUGUUCCUUGCAAGUCUAGCAUCCAUGCCAUUUGUUGGACGUGAAACCUUCGAAAAUCCAAGAACCAGAGAACCCCGAUCAUGAGCAUUGUUCAUGCAGUCGUAAAUGUGGACCUUUCAGCGAGUUUUAAGGUCAUAGGAAGCCUUAAAACAUCUUCACGAAGCUCGGGGAGUAACUUUGGAGUGAUUUAGACGUCGGGAAGCUUGGGUUUGGAGAGUUGCAGGAGUGAUCGGAAUAUCGAAGGGUUUUCCAACGACUUCCCGUGGGUUUUAGGACUCUUAAGUGGUAAGAACUUGUUCCUUUUGUCCCAAGCUUCAUUUUGGUUUAAGUUUCAUGAAUUUUGGUUGAGAAAUGAAGAAGAUAUGAAGUUUAGAAAUUUUUUUCUCAGUUUCCAGCGACGACGACGGAAUCCAAUGACUCGCCGGAGAAGAAGACGAAUAUUCCGUCAACUUUGACGGAAUAUUCCUAACGGCAAUUAACGACGUCAGGUAUAAUUAACGGUAUAUGCUUAUAUUUAACGGAAUAUUCCCUAACACCGUUAGGGAAUCCGUUUGGUGUGCCAGGCAAGUACCUGCGCUUGAGCAGCACUUCUGGCCGUGCCUUGGCCAGGGCGCGUGGGUGGUCAGAAAUUUUUUCUAAAAAUAUAGGGAUGUUCCUAAGGUUGAGUAGGUCAUGGUGGUAUAUUCAAAUACCUCAUUUGAGCAAUGUAUGAGAAGUUAUUUCCUAGUUUUGUAUAUGUGCUUUGAAUAACGUUUAUUUAGUUAUUUCGCAUAUAGGUGAGACCUAUCUUGAGGAUGAGCGCCAUCAAUCGAGGCUCGGGGCCUACGAUCCUUUGACAUAUCAGUGAGUGGGCUUUUGGUUUUCCGUAUAGACCUAUAUACUUGAGAUUUUUUUUCUAGAAAAUGAAUUUGAAUGAUUAUACGUUUUGAAAUGCCAUGCAAAGUAUCUGCCUAUUUUAUUUAUGCAUUAGUAGUUGCAUAUAUUUAUGAUUGGUGUUGUGGACGCACAGGUAAUCGCCAGGUAAGUUCAUAAAUUAAAGAUAUGAGAUUGCUUUAGUUAUGCGAGAGAUGAUGUGAUGCAUUGAGAGCUCAUAAACCUGCACCCCGGUGUUAGUGCUCCCACCCAAAGUUAGGGCACAACCAUUCACAUGAUGUUCACCUCCCGCACCAUAUGCUCACCUUGGAUCCAAGUUAGGUGCACAUGCUUGUCGUACAUACCACUUUAGGUGAUUCCGACUCAUAGGUCACCCGCGAUCAUUUGCACAGUCUUCACAUGAUCGUAGCACUAUAGCAUAUUUAUUUUACACCUAGUCUUGUCGUAUAGACCACUUUAGGUGGUUUUGACUCGUGUACAGGAUUUGAUAUGAUUGAGAUUGAUUAUGAGCUAUAGACUCAGUCGUGCAGAUUAAUUUAGGGGGAUUCGGCUGGUAUGAUAUCUGGCAUUGAUAUAUUUUAACUGGAUUACUUAUAGCAUUUUAUUGAGAUACUUUGGCAUGGUAUAUUUCUAUGGAUUUUCAUCCUAAGCAUGAUUUUUGAUAUAGCAUAUAUUAUCAUUUUUCUGGGAAAUUAUAUAGGUUUUACGGCGAGGAGUUAGAACUUUUGAAAAAUGAAAUGAUUUUGAAAAGCUUUGUUUUUGCCCACUCACACUUUUUGUUUUGCGCCCCUCCAGGUUUUAGGUAGAAGUGCUCUGGUGGCUCACGGGGAUUUCGACGGUGGUUCUGACAGAACAUCAUAAACGUAGGAACACCCUUGGGGGUUGUAUAAUUAGUACUUGUCCUGCUUGAUUGCACUUAGGCUAUUUAUGCUCUGGAUGUGUAUUUCACACUUAAUCUCACACUUGCACCUUAUCCUAUCUAGUACUCUAGUUGAUUUGGUUUUUGUUUAUUCGUAAUUCCUUAUAUCUCUAUUACUUCCGCACUGUGUACAUAACUACGUCAUCCUCACGUGACGGCCAGCAUAUCUCGAUCUUGGUCAGGGUGUGUCACUUAAGCCCGUAGGCAGCAAAGACAAACAACAACAAAAAAACCUAAACUGAAGCCGCAAAAACUAAUUCACAGCCUCAGUCGCCUUGUCCCUGAGGGAAGCCAUCACCCCAGACAAAAAAUUAGAUCCGAGAGUGUUCAACAAGAUCAAUCUACCAAGAACCACAUCCACAGCCACCCUACAAAGAAAGUCACCAAACGUAACAAAAAGAGGGGGAGGGCAAAAGGGUGGUAUAAACCACCUUUUUCCAACAUGAAUCUUUCCCCAUUUCGUACAAAGUUUCUGACAUGCAGGCUCGGCAAUGGGCUGUGAGUGUACGCAUGGAAAGUACUAUUUAAAUACAAGCUCUCCAUUGGGUUGGUGGACGCAAUUUUUUUUUUAGUAUGGUGUGCUAAGUUUUUAGAGGAUGUUCAUUUCAGCAUCCACAUAUGGUCUGUAAUUGUUUCAAGUUGGUUAAUAUAAAGUUUGUUUUCUUACGAAAUUUUUUAAAAAAUGGACAUGCUAAUUGCCUUCUCCAUUUACCUUCUCCUUUUGCCUUUCCCACUUAACUUUUGACACGUGGACUCUACUUAUACUUAAAACCAAAAGUUUAAUGUUUUGAAAAUAGAAAUUAUUUUCUUCCCUCGUUACCCUUAUAAUAAUCUAAACUUAACAAAAAGGAAAAAAUGAUAUAACUGCUCACCAACCUCUCUAGUCUCUACCAUUUUCCCCAACCCGUCUCUAAGACUGCCAAAACCUACUAAGUUUUAGGUUUAGGCCUCUUUGCAUUGCCACAGCCAUAAU